This 51-nucleotide non-coding RNA is filed under the name unclassified sequences. RNAcentral describes it as "chromate-resist RNA". It matches the Rfam family "chrB-b RNA". The record is from RNAcentral.
UGGGGACGGCAGGCUCCCCGCUGCAUCAGACGGCUUUCGUCCAAGCUCUGC